RNAcentral lists this ribosomal RNA (253 nucleotides) under uncultured bacterium. Its description in RNAcentral is "partial 16S ribosomal RNA". It matches the Rfam family "Bacterial small subunit ribosomal RNA", at positions 524 to 776 of the family's 1533-position model. The record is from RNAcentral.
UACGUAGGGCGCAAGCGUUAUCCGGAAUUAUUGGGCGUAAAGAGCUCGUAGGCGGUUUGUCGCGUCUGCCGUGAAAGCCCGGGGCUCAACUCCGGAUCUGCGGUGGGUACGGGCAGACUAGAGUGAUGUAGGGGAGACUGGAAUUCCUGGUGUAGCGGUGAAAUGCGCAGAUAUCAGGAGGAACACCGAUGGCGAAGGCAGGUCUCUGGGCAUUAACUGACGCUGAGGAGCGAAAGCAAGGGGAGCGAACAGG